UUUUUUUUUUUUUUUUUGUUCUUUUUGUCUUUUCUAUGGCAUAUGGGAGUUCCCAGCCUAGGGGUCCAGUCGGAGCUGUAGCCACCAGCCUGCUCCAGAGCCACAGCAAUGAGGGAUCUGAGCCGUGUCUGCAACUUACACCCCAGCUCACAGCAACGCUGGAUCCUUCACUCACUGAGCGAGACCAGGGAUCAAACCCGCAAUCUCAUGGUUCCUAGUCGGAUUCGUUAACCACUGUGCCACGACGGGAACUCCUCCUCUGGUUUCUGAUUGACUUUAUUCUCUCCUCUUGAAGAUCGGUUUUCCCCAAGACCCCCAGGGCAAAUUUCCAUGCUGUCCUCAUUUACACAGUCCAGGCAGGAACUCUGACGGUCCUGACGUGGGUUGUGUUUCAUCCCUCAGUCAUCUCUGUCCGGGUGGCAUUGGGAGGGUGUUUCCCAAACAGCCAUGCCUGGGUUCACAUACCUGAGUUCACAUUGCAGUGGAUCUCGCAGGAUCCACUGCAGGAAACAUGUGGAAGGGGAAUCAAGACAGUAGCCUCAUCACCCAGGUUACUGCAAAGACCAACGUGUGAUUACUGUCCCUUGGAUGUGGUUCGCCGUCAUUGUUGGCAGCAUGAAAACACAUGGUCUUGGAAGUUAGGAUCGUGAGGAAAUGUUUAAAUCCCUAUAAACCUCGGUUUUCUCAUAUAAAACCAGGAGAUAAUAAUUUCUCUCUCCCUGCUUUGUUAUGAUUAAGUCAGAUAACCUAAGAACGUGCCUGGAACAUGCGCUCAGCAAAUGCUAGUUAUUAUUCCCCAAGUUCUGCUAUCCUUGCACCUGGGCUGCCUAGGUCAUGCACUCCCCCCCCCUUUGAUGUCCCCAUUUCUUACUUUGCAGUGAGGAACAAAGCUCUCAAGUGGGCCAAGCACCCCCACCUGUUCCUCACUACUCCCUCCCUGAGGCAAGCCACAUGGCAGGGCAGAUUAUCAGAGGGUAGGGUCUUGAGAAUGAGACUGGAAUAUGCAAAAGAAUUUGGGUGGUUUUAAGAGGAGUUUCUCCACCAGGAUGCCUGAAACACUUUCAUUUGCUACAUUAGCAACUCAGUUCGUCACCUACUUGACGUAAGGAACCCCCCUGAGAGUCUGAUUGAAACUAUGGAUACUCUUCUCUGAAAGAUGCACAAUUGUACAAGUUCAGGAAGGGCACAGAGUUUUAGGAAGCCCAGCCAUGGGAGCCCAGGUUCAGAGUCCCUGCACUAGAUGGGGAAUCUUGCUAGGGAACCUCUGGUACCUGCUAACCCAGAUGGUGCUUGGAUGGGCACUGCCCACUCUCCCUCCAUGACUCUCCUUUGUCCAGUCACCUGGGUCUGACCAACCCUCUUUCUGAUGGACUUUUUUUUGUCAGGGAACCGACGAGUCUAGACAUGAUGUGUGACCUCAAGAAGUCUUUGUUCACUUAGGUUUCAGUCAAGAACUGCGGCCUCAGGGCCAUUCUGUCUCUUCAAGUUGACCCCACACUUCUAUUUUGAUGCAUGACCUGUGGAUUUUAAAGGUUUUAUAUCAAGUAUUCUUAUUUCAUUGUCUUUGAGGGAUAUCAGGAUUCUUUUGCGUGCAAUAGGUGGAGAAUCCAGGUUCAAAAUGGUAUAGGCAAACAGAGGGAAUGGCUCACACAAGUGAAAAAUUCAAGAGUCAUGUCCCACGUCAGGCACAGCUGCAUCUAGGGGCUCAGACAUCACCAUGAGGCCUGGGUCUCACAUCACGUACUAGCUCUUUCUUUGUUUGGGCUCCAUUCCCAGGCAGUGUUUCCCAGUUCAUGGCAGAAUGGUCUAAACAUCUUCUCUACUCAGAGAUGUAAAGAAGCCCAUUUCAAACCAGCUUCCCAUCUCUGCCUGGGAAUAAAGCAAGCCUAAGACUAUCUCCUUUCCCCAUCCAACCAGAAUGUGCUCAUUUACUCAUCCUACUCUUUGAUGCGGGGCAGCGGUCAGGGGGACAAAUUGACACGUGACUUGUAGAAUGAAUACACUGUUGUCAAAGAUGUGCCGUAGUAGAGUUGGGAAACAGGUGCAAUGGGGAUCCAGAGGAAGGAGUGAUAAAUUCCGCCUGUGAGCCUCAGAGAAGGCUUCCCUGAAUAGGGGAUGUUCGAGCCUCAUCCUAAAGCACAAGGAAGAGUCUUCUAAGUAGUGAAGAGGGUGGGAAACAGCACACGCAAAGGCUUGGAAGCCCCAGAAAGCAGAGAAUGUCCAGGAAUCUGUGAUGAAUGUGGUACAGCUAGAGAAAGGUGCUGGGGUAGGAGUGUUGAGAGAGAGGAAGACAUGGGACAGAGUGGCAAGACAUAUGAGGCCUUGAUUAUCAGGAUAAGGAUUCUGGGCUUUCCUGAGGAGUAAGGGGCAGAGAACUGAAGAGUUUCAAGCCCCUGAUGGAACCAGAUGGCAGAUGUUGGCCAGAUGGCCCUGGCUAAGCAUGGAAGACGGGUUGGGGGAAAAAGGUCCUGAGACAGGGGACUUCUUCCUGGAGAAGCUCUUGCCAUCUUCCGGUAGAACCGAGGCCGAUGCAAGAGGAAAGGGUUUACAAGCUCUGUAGGAGGGAGAAUUGACAGACCUGGAGACCAGAUGGAUGGGGAUCGAAAAAGGAAGGGCCUAGGGUAAUUCCCAGGUUUCUCUGAUGAGAAACUGGGUAAAUGGUGGCAGCCUGCACUGAGUCAGGGAACACGGGAGAGGAGCAGGCUGAGAAGUGAGGGGAGGACGAGGAGUUCAGUCUUAAGCAUGUCCGUGACCUUGAGACAUCAGCUUGCAGCUGUCCAGGUGUCAGCUGGCUUCCUGCAUCUGGAGCCCUGGGGAGAGGUGGGUCCGGGGGACACACCUGAGGCCAGUGGGCUGCAGGUGGUGCUGGUGGUGGAAGCAGUGCUAACCUAGAUGGGGCACCACCACUAGAAACAAAAAGCCCCACAGUUGUUAUUAUUGUCAUUUUUGGCGUUACUCUUUUCUUCUGUCCUUGCAUGUUCUCUUCAAGAUUCCAAGUGCUGGUGGAGGGAGAGUCCACUUGGCUAGCGGAGUCAUGGGCCUACUCCUCGGCUUGGGGAAGGCACGAGGGCUUUCAUUCACCCGAGAUGUCAUCAAGCAUAGAAAGGGGGCAUGGACCCCCCC
Molecule: long non-coding RNA, 3123 nt
Filed under: Sus scrofa (pig)
Lineage: Eukaryota; Metazoa; Chordata; Mammalia; Artiodactyla; Suidae
Description: lncRNA (ENSSSCG00000062511.1)
Source: RNAcentral